Molecule: ribosomal RNA, 424 nt
Filed under: uncultured prokaryote
Description: bacterial SSU rRNA
Rfam family: Bacterial small subunit ribosomal RNA
Source: RNAcentral
UCGAGGAUCUUCGGCAAUGGACGCAAGUCUGACCGAGCGACGCCGCGUGCGGGAUGAAGGCCUUCGGGUUGUAAACCGCUGUCAGUUGGGAGGAAAUCACAUGGGGUUCUCUCCAUGUGUUGACCUAUCUUCAGAGGAAGGACGGGCUAAGUUCGUGCCAGCAGCCGCGGUAAGACGAACCGUCCAAACGUUAUUCGGAAUUACUGGGCUUAAAGGGUGCGUAGGCGGCCCUGUAAGUUGGGUGUGAAAUCCCUCGGCGCAACCGAGGAAGUGCGCCGAAUACUGGAGGGCUAGAGGAAGGUAGAGGGGAGCGGAACUUGUGGUGGAGCGGUGAAAUGCGUUGAUAUCACAAGGAACACCUGUGGCGAAAGCGGCUCACUGGGUCUUUUCUGACGCUGAGGCACGAAAGCUGGGGGAGCGAACG